GUUUCGGUGGCGCCGGCGUUGAUCGUGGUUUUUCUGUGGUGGAUGUUGUUGAUGGUCGCUUGUCGAAAGACUCAACUUAGUAAUUGUCGCGAGAUUCCUCGUGUUACGUUGACUUUGUGCCUUCCGGAUGACCGAAGAUCGUUCCGCUCCUCCAGAAUCGGAAUUAUGGCGAAUUCGUGGUUGGUCAGAUAUCGUGCGCGGAACCAACCUACAAGAUGUCGGGAUUUUCCAUCCGAUUCGUGAUUACAUGGAUCUUCUACAACCACUAAGAGGUAUAUUAAUAAAGGAUUUGGUGGAUUCGGAGUUUGAGAUUUUUUGUAAAAGAUCUCGUAUCUGAGUGCUCUGGCUUAAGGUAUUUUGAUUGGGUUGAUUCUUGAUGGGGCUAAUACCGGAACAGGUUGUAUUGGUAAGAUCGUUUAGGUAUUUUAUGUGGUUAUUGGAUCUGGUUGAUAUAUUUGGAGGUAUGGUUGCGAGGGGUGUGUGUAAGUGAUUGUUCUGAUGUUAGCUCUUGUUUAUGGACCUUUGCCAUGUCAGGUGCGCUUGCAUGGCAGGUCCGAAAAGCGUUAAUAAAAUGGUUAUUUUUUUUGUUUGGGGGAGGGUAGGAGUCGGGGCUUUUAUUGGUAGUUUUUUCCCCGAUUCUUUUCCCUCUCCCCGUGGUGUUGUGUUUUCCCCUUUCCCUUUCUCUUCCUUAGUCUCUCUGCUCUGCCCUCUGAAUUUUUUUAUAUAUUCUGGUUCGCUUACUGCUUAUCGGCUCAACAAAACGACAAAACGAUUGGCUACUCGGCAAGGUACAUAGUGCUGAAUGCACACUUUAAUUCAUUUUAAUUUCGUUGUUUAUGAAUUUACUCUUCGAGUUUGCAAUACAUAAUUAACACUAUUCCAUGCAUCUAAAUCAAUUAAUAGGGCGGUUUUAUUGAAUCUUAAUUAACAUUUAAGUCAUUGCUACAAUUUAUGCAUACUUUAAUUAUUUCUUGACCGUAUGUUUUAUAAUUUCGCAAAUAAAUUAUUUGUUUAAGCAUAUAUACUCUGCCCUACUGUGAUUUGUAAUUCACAUCAAUAGAAUUGAUUUGAAGGGGGUUUCCAAUAAAUUAAUAACUAAGGAAUUUAUAAACUUCAUCGAAGGAGAUUUGAACAAUGUAAAUUGCACCUUUUAGUUCUGUGGUUUUAUAAACUUUAACUUGAUUGAUUAAAGUUAAUUUAUUAAACUGAGGCACAGCAUGAUUUUUAAUAUUUGUUCCAAAUUUAUAUAUUAUUCAACAAUUGAAUCAAAGUGGCUUUGGAAUUACAAUAAAAAAUGUGCAAAUGUUUCUUUGAGAGCUCAUGCAUAUAUUAACAAUUGAAUCAAAGUGCCUUUGGAUUCACGAUAUAAUAGUUUGCGAAUGUUUAUAUUUUCUGUUGAGCGCACAUGCACAUCAACUAGUUCAUUUAUAUCAGAUGCAGUACUUAAACUUAUUUUUUCAUUUUUUUUAGUUAUAUAUAUUUAUAUUUUAAACUUAUCUUAAAGUUUUUAUCUAUAAAUACCAGUCAAUGUCUCCUCGUAGAAUCCUGCAUGUAUUGUGAUAAUCUCGUAGGUUAGGGUGAUGUCUUACUGCAAUUGUAUUAUGGAGCUAUUAUUGGCUAACAUUUGUACUUUAGUUCUGUUUAGGAUCAUUGGGAUUUUGUUGUAUUUUUAUGUUUAAAAAAUCUGCCGUGGUACACGAGUCAGUGAUCAUAGAUUGCUGUAAACACCUGUGCCUAGUGUAGCUUUAAGGUUCCUUAUAUCUGCAGUAUUCUGCUUUGGAUCAGCAUCAAUAUUGGCCUUUGUCAAGAACUGUGCGACUGGCCUCUUACAUGUUCCUUUGGAGUCUAGAUAUAGUAUUUGAAAAGGAGUCUGAGAUCAUGCAGAGGAUGAAUGUACGUGUUAUUUUGCGAAGCGGGGAAGGAUCUUCAGACUUGGAGGUAAUAUGGGUUGAUCUCGGACCAUUACAUCUUAUGGGUUAGAUAUCAAUCUUCUAUCACUUGAAAAUUUCGAUCCACGUCGAGGCUAUUUAUCUAGAGAUUUGACUUUGGUGCUUCAUCAAAUCAUGCUGGAUCAACGACAAGCCACAGUGCAUUAUAAUCAAACGAUUGUUUUAUGUUCGGUCAUGUAACGUCGACCUUAAUGGUCACGUCUUUUAUAUUUGGCGACAUCUUCGGGGAUCUGUAUACUGUUGACGAAAUCCUGAAGUUGGUGGUUGUUCUCAACUUCUCCUAUCCUUGAUCAUUGUUAUUGAAAAUUAUCCUCGUUGUUCUGUAUUCAUGGGAAAAAUAUUUGUCUCUGGUUUGUUCUCUACUCCAUUUUUUAACUAUGAACAUGCUGAAACAGUUUUUUCCAGGUAUUUUUGUAAAUGUUUUCAUGUAGAUCUUUUGGUGCGGUUUGGCCAAUAAUCCCGCUACUUAGUGUUAGUUUUGGUGUUUUACUACUCUUGUUUCACAACAUAUUGGUUUAUAAUUGGUUCUCAGAAUUCGGUUUCGUCGUUAUAUUUUGUGAAUCAGAUUUUGUGGGAAGAUGUGAUGGAUUAUCAGUUUGAUCCUCCUGGUCUGUAAGUUAAUUGAUUGAAUAUUGUUUCGAUAAAAUAAUAAAUUAAUUCUCAGGGAGGACCAUAUGAUCUGAAAUUGAAUAUUCAUUUAGUAAUUGACUGUUUAAUGUUUCCUAGUCUUGUGUGCUCGACAAGUGUAUGAUUCAAAUCACUUUAAGAACAUCCGUUUUAUUGAAGUAGUUUGUUACUUAAGUUGAGGAGUUACUACUGUUUUUUCCUCCUCAUUUUGCUUUUUCAGUUUACCUUUAUUAAUUUCGAAAAUCCUUUUUCUUGAUUUGUGGUUUGACAUCUAAAUAAUUUAAUUUCAUGAAGUAUUUUACAAUAUUUUGGCUUAUAAACUUGGUAUGCAACCAUCUCAAGGAUACAAUUGAUCCACUAGCUCGAAUCGGAACGAGCACCCAAUUGCUGUUGCAUAUGGGAAGUUGGUGGUUCGAAUCCACCUGGAUCCGCCAACACAUGUGACAUUAAAAUUUACUCGCCUUUUUUUAGAAUAAUAUAAGCUGUGUGUAUCUUCAUGGGAUAAGUCUAUAGAAAAAAAAAAUAGCUUACACAUUCAAAUGGGUUUAGUCUCCAAGAAAACUGAUGACAUCCAUUUAGCUAUUGAGAUAUUGGGAUAUACCUUUUAAGAACAAUUUGUAUGAUCUGAUUUAUAAUUAUUUUUUUGAUCUGUUCUGUUAAAUAUUAAUUUUUUGUGACAUUUUUUCCUUUAAAUUUUGGUGAAAUCCAGAGACUUGGCUGAUAGUAUAUCGUUUUUUUUAACAGUUGAAGGGUUUGGCGACUACAGACAUCUCUGGGGAUACACCAGCUGGUCCUCUAGCUUAGGAAGUAAUUAGGUUUAGAUUUUUGUGGAUUCAGAUUUCAGAGCAAUUAUACUUGUGGAGUUUUGAUUGCCUAUGACAUUUCUUUAGUAAUGUAUGUCCUCUCAGUUUGUUUAAAAAUCAUAAGAUUAAUGUAGAUUUUACGUUCUUUCGAUGAUUUUUUUAUGAUUUUACAGUUUUCUAUAGGUCUUAAGGAAGUAAGAGGGAUUUAAAAACAAAAUUUGUUUGAGUCAAUGAACUUUUUUAUCCUGUUCUAGCCAUAAACGUUGAGAGAUUUAAAACUAAAAUAUCCAAUCUUAUUCCUUUCAAGAGUAGUGGGACUUGAAUACAACCAGUGUUGUGGAGUUGCUUACUAAAAUAUCCAAUCUUAUUCCUUUCAAGAGUAGUGGGACUUGAAUACAACCAGUGUUGUGGAGUUGAUUCCAAAAGGAAGCGCAUUUGUUUAGGGAUAUCAGUUUGCUCAUGCAACCAGAGGGUGAGAAUCAAAACUUCAACAUCGAGGCAGCCAAAUCCCCUUAGCACCGAUGCAGCAAUAGCACGGCACUGAGCUUCUACGUUUUCUUGUUAUUGUAACAAUUCACUGCGGAAAUUUCAGGAGCAAUUAUUAGAUUAUGCUACUGCAGAUGAGGCUUGCAUCAGAUAACACCUGCAAGCAUGAAGUUUCCUAUUUUUCAUCAAAAGGGUAUUAUUAUGAUUGCAUGGACCAAAUUUUCGUUUCUCUGUUACAAAUUUUAGUUUUUUCAUUACAGUAUUUGGCUGCUCAAGAUAAUUUUCAAUCUUAAUUUGUAUUCUACCAUCCAUACGUAUGUAGGCUUGGAAAAGUCUGAUACUUUUUAUCUUAGUUUCUGAUUAAGUUUUUGGUAGUCUGAGUAUCAACAUGAGGGUAUAGAUUUGUGUGUUGAUUUUCGUUAUUGGGUUACCACUUUUCAUAGAUGCUAUGGACCUUUCAGUGAAGUAUUCAAUUUUUCUUUCUUUUUCAGAUUUUUUGGGGGUGGUUGCUGUUUGCAUGGAUUUCAAGUGACUUUAAAUUUAACACCUGAAGGUUUUUGUGUCAACUAUUUCUGUUUAAUUUUUUAAGAGGUGAAGGAACUCUUGAAAAAGAAGAAUACAGAAUAGUUAGUUGAAAAUGGGGUUCAAGAGUAGAUACUGAUGAAAGUUCCAAAUGAGAAACUAGUAGAACAGGCUCAAGAUGACUGGUAGGGGAAUAAAACUUCUCAAAAUAAAAUCUUUCACCGGGCUGUAAAUUCCUUGUUGAUGUCAUCAAUUUGUGAUGGUGAAUAUUUAAUCUC
This is a long non-coding RNA of Vigna angularis (adzuki bean), 4665 nucleotides long. RefSeq lists it as uncharacterized. The record is from RefSeq and is a predicted model, not a curated record. NCBI's taxonomy places the organism in Eukaryota, Viridiplantae, Streptophyta, Magnoliopsida, Fabales, Fabaceae. The transcript has 4 exons.